GACGAACGCUGGCGGCGUGCUUAACACAUGCAAGUCGAGCGGAAAGGCCCUGCUUUUGUGGGGUGCUCGAGUGGCGAACGGGUGAGUAACACGUGAGUAACCUGCCCUUGACUUUGGGAUAACUUCAGGAAACUGGGGCUAAUACCGGAUAGGAGCUCCUGCUGCAUGGUGGGGGUUGGAAAGUUUCGGCGGUUGGGGAUGGACUCGCGGCUUAUCAGCUUGUUGGUGGGGUAGUGGCUUACCAAGGCUUUGACGGGUAGCCGGCCUGAGAGGGUGACCGGCCACAUUGGGACUGAGAUACGGCCCAGACUCCUACGGGAGGCAGCAGUGGGGAAUAUUGCACAGUGGGCGGAAGCCUGAUGCAGCAACGCCGCGUGCGGGAUGACGGCCUUCGGGUUGUAAACCGCUUUCGCCUGUGACGAAGCGUGGGUGACGGUAAUGGGUAAAGAAGCACCGGCUAACUACGUG
This 468-nucleotide ribosomal RNA is filed under the name uncultured bacterium. RNAcentral's name for it is "partial 16S ribosomal RNA". It matches the Rfam family "Bacterial small subunit ribosomal RNA", at positions 28 to 507 of the family's 1533-position model. The record is from RNAcentral.